UAGCUAUCAGAGAGCACUGGGUCAACACCCUGAAACAACCGCCUCUCACUGAGAGCAAAGCCUCGUACUUAAACCAUUCACACAGAAAUCUUAAGGUAAACAUAUUUCAUGCAAAAGCAAUUGCCAAUUUUUCAUUUUAGAAAAAAAUUAACAGAACAAAAAUCUAAGAAAAUGAAGAGUGAGAGACUGUAGAGGAUGGAGGCCCAAUCAGAAAUAGAGAAAUCUGGAGAAAGAGAAGGCUCAGAUCAGAUAUGCCUUCAAAUUGGACAGGACAGAAACACCACAACAUCUGCGCUGCAACAACAAAAGGUUGCCUUGCCAAGAAAUUGAGUAUUUCUCCUCCAGUCCAACUUUUCAGGCUCAAAGAAU
Non-coding RNA from Jatropha curcas, 369 nucleotides. The record is from RefSeq and is a predicted model, not a curated record. Lineage: Eukaryota; Viridiplantae; Streptophyta; Magnoliopsida; Malpighiales; Euphorbiaceae.